Molecule: ribosomal RNA, 1095 nt
Filed under: Clostridium sp.
Lineage: Bacteria; Bacillati; Bacillota; Clostridia; Eubacteriales; Clostridiaceae
Description: bacterial SSU rRNA
Rfam family: Bacterial small subunit ribosomal RNA
Source: RNAcentral
GGUCAAGCCGCAGCUUUGGGUUGUGGUGAGGGUAGUGGGUAAAGAAGCGCCGGCUAACUACGUGCCAGCAGCCGCGGUAAUACGUAGGGCGCGAGCGUUGUCCGGAAUUAUUGGGCGUAAAGGGCUUGUAGGCGGUUGGUCGCGUCUGCCGUGAAAUCCUCUGGCUUAACUGGGGGCGUGCGGUGGGUACGGGCUGACUUGAGUGCGGUAGGGGAGACUGGAAUUCCUGGUGUAGCGGUGGAAUGCGCAGAUAUCAGGAGGAACACCGGUGGCGAAGGCGGGUCUCUGGGCCGUUACUGACGCUGAGGAGCGAAAGCGUGGGGAGCGAACAGGAUUAGAUACCCUGGUAGUCCACGCUGUAAACGUUGGGCACUAGGUGUGGGGGCCACCCGUGGUUUCUGCGCCGUAGCUAACGCUUUAAGUGCCCCGCCUGGGGAGUACGGCCGCAAGGCUAAAACUCAAAGGAAUUGACGGGGGCCCGCACAAGCGGCGGAGCAUGCGGAUUAAUUCGAUGCAACGCGAAGAACCUUACCAAGGCUUGACAUGCACGGCGACACUGCAGAGAUGUGGUGGCAUUUAGUUGGUCGUGUGCAGGUGGUGCAUGGUUGUCGUCAGCUCGUGUCGUGAGAUGUUGGGUUAAGUCCCGCAACGAGCGCAACCCUUGCCCUAUGUUGCCAGCACGUGAUGGUGGGGACUCGUGGGGGACUGCCGGGGUUAACUCGGAGGAAGGUGGGGAUGACGUCAAAUCAUCAUGCCCCUUAUGUCUUGGGCUUCACGCAUGCUACAAUGGUUGGUACAGAGGGUUGCGAUACUGUGAGGUGGAGCGAAUCCCUUAAAGCCAGUCUCAGUUCGGAUUGGGGUCUGCAACUCGACCCCAUGAAGGUGGAGUCGCUAGUAAUCGCAGAUCAGCAACGCUGCGGUGAAUACGUUCUCGGGCCUUGUACACACCGCCCGUCACGUCACGAAAGUUGGUAACACCCGAAGCCCAUGGCCUAACCGUUUUUGCGGGGGGAGUGGUCGAAGGUGGGAUUGGCGAUUGGGACGAAGUCGUAACAAGGUAGCCGUACCGGAAGGUGCGGCUGGAUCACCUCCUUU